AAGCCCUGGAUUCCCAAGUCCUCCCAGGCAGUGUUCAGUAGUGAAAACAGGCCACUCAUCAUGGCCUUUGGGCACAUAUUGGUUUUCUUUGUCCUUAUUUUAAAAGGUGUCCAGUGUGAAGUGCAAUUGCUGGAGUCUGGGGGAGAGUUAGUGCAACCUGGAAAGUCCCUGAAACUCUCCUGUGCAGCCUCUGGAUUCUUUUUCAGUGAUUAUUACAUGAGCUGGGUCCGCCAGGCUCCAGGGAAGGGGCUGGAGUGGGUCGGACGUAUUAGUUAUGGUGGUACAACCUACCAUGCGGACGCUGUGAAGGGCAGGCUCACAAUCUCCAGAGACAACGCCAAGAACACUCUGUACCUGGAAAUGAGCAGUCUGAAGUCUGAAGACACAGCCAUGUAUUACUGUGCAAGAGACACAGUGAAUGAAUGUUACUGUGAGCUCAGACAAAAACACUGCUGUGGGGAACACAGGAUCAGCAGGGGGCGCUGA
Non-coding RNA from Alexandromys fortis (reed vole), 486 nucleotides. The record is from the annotation of a RefSeq genome assembly. NCBI's taxonomy places the organism in Eukaryota, Metazoa, Chordata, Mammalia, Rodentia, Cricetidae.